AGUCCAACGAGAAUGUUUUGAGAGAAUCCAUAGCUACUAAGAUGAAGCCCAGGCACAUACAAGCCACCUGAGAUUCAUACAACAAAUUCACGGCGACCAGAGAUCCUGCUCCCUCGUCUCUCCCAAGACCUGUUAACUUCCAGAAGUCUUCAAAGCACUUUUGGGUCCAGUUUCUUGCUAUCUACCCAAUGGGCAGACAGGAUGAGGACUUCAGAAGAAAGUCAUGAGGGAAGGCAUCGUUUGGGUGGAGUCUUCUACAAAUUGACACCCUAUUCAUAUCUCUGAUCCACUGCUGAGAGCAUCCUGCAGAACCAAGGCUCUACUGAUGUCACUCUGAGGAAGUCCCAAUUCAAAGUGACAGCGUUCUUCUCCAUGCUGCAUAGGGCUACAGGGAAAAAUGAGACCCAGCUUGGUCUCUGACCCCGAGGUUCUCAAAUCAGCUCCUGGGAAGCAUCUUGCAUGUGGAAGACAGAUAGACACAUCCUGAGAGGCUUCUUCACACUUGGUCGGAGUGAACUUACCAUGCUGGCAUCUCCUUGGUGUGCCCCUUCCUGUGGGUUCUGCAUCCUCACUCUCACUGCUCAACUGGAGAAGUAAUGGCUGAGGGAAGAUCAAGUGAGACACCAGGGUUGAAAGCCUUAUUAGCGUCUUUGAUCAAGAUCACCAUCCAUGAGUAAGAAGA
Molecule: non-coding RNA, 682 nt
Organism: Peromyscus maniculatus bairdii (prairie deer mouse)
Lineage: Eukaryota; Metazoa; Chordata; Mammalia; Rodentia; Cricetidae
Source: RefSeq, a predicted model, not a curated record